RNAcentral lists this ribosomal RNA (468 nucleotides) under uncultured bacterium. RNAcentral describes it as "partial 16S ribosomal RNA". It matches the Rfam family "Bacterial small subunit ribosomal RNA", at positions 28 to 507 of the family's 1533-position model. The record is from RNAcentral.
GACGAACGCUGGCGGCGUGCUUAAUACAUGCCAGUCGAACGGAAAGGCCCUGCUUUUGUGGGGUGCUCGUGUGGCGAACGGGUGAGUAUCACGUGAGUAACCUGCCCCUGACUUUGGGAUAACUUCAGGAAACUCGGGCUAAUACAGGAUAUGAGCUCCUGCUGCACGGUGUUGGUUGGAAAGUUUUGGCGGUUGGGGACGGACACGCGGUUUAUCAGCUUGUUGGUUAGGUAGUGGCUUACCAAGGCUCUGACGGGUAGCCGGCUUGAGAGGGUGACCGGCCACAUUGUGACUGGGAUAGCGCCCAGACUGCUACGGGAGGAAGGAGUGGGAGACAGUGCACGAUGGGCGGAAGCCGGAUGGAGCAACGCCGCGUGCGGGAUGACGGUCUGCAGGGUGGAAACCGCGUUCGCCUGGAACGAAGCGUGAGUGACGGUAACGGGUAAAGAAGCACCGGCUAACUACGUG